This is an RNA transcript of Larimichthys crocea (large yellow croaker), 2227 nucleotides long. It is a transcript of the gene named SH3 domain binding glutamate-rich protein, with no coding region annotated. The transcript is spliced from 11 exons. Lineage: Eukaryota; Metazoa; Chordata; Actinopteri; Sciaenidae. The record is from RefSeq and is a predicted model, not a curated record.
CUCAGUGGUGUCUCAGUGUGUUUGUGUGUGUGUGAUCCCUGUCUCCGUCCUGAGCGUGCUCUAAUAAUAGAGGAGGCUGUCUGCUCCUUUAAGAGCCAACUUGUUGCAAAAUCUACAAAUAUAAUCAAAGAAAAAUGGUUAUCAAAGUAUUUCUCGCCUCUUCAUCGGGAUCCACCGCGAUCAAGAAGAAGCAACAAGAUGUGGUCGGCUUCCUGGAGGCUCUUAAAGUGGACUACACUGAGCUGGACAUCGCCUGCAACGAGGAGAACCGCAUGUGGAUGAGGCAGAAUGUCCCUUCGGAGAAGAAGCCCACCAAUGGCAUACCCUUGCCCCCUCAGAUCUUCAACGAAGGGAACUACUGCGGGGACUACGACACGUUCUUUGAUGCCAAGGAGGACAAUACAGUGUAUGCCUUCCUCGGGCUGCCCCCUCCCCCUGGGUCUAAGGAAGCAGAACAAGCCGACAAGGCACACAUUGUGGAGAACGGGACCCACGCUGAAGAAACUAAUGCAGAGGGAAACCUUGAUGACUCAAUAGAGGUUCCAGUGGAGGAGCGUAACGGGGAUGCACAUGGAGAGGAGGAGGAAGGUGAGGGUGGCGAGGAGGAGGAGGAGGAGGUAGCAGAGGGAGAGACAGCAGAUGAUGAGGCCACGGAAGGAGACGAGGCCCCUGCAGAGGAGGAUGAGGCAGUGGAAGAAGCAGAUGAGAUCACAGAAGACACAGAGGCACGAGCAGAAGAGGAAGAAGAAGAAGAACAGGAAGAAGCUGAUGAUGACAGGGAGGAAGAGGAUUUGCAGUCAGAGAGCACUCAAGAAACAAAGUGGAUGUGACAAGUUCCGAAGAAGACGGAUGAGGUGGAGCGCUACUUGUUAUUGCGUAACACAAAAAAACAGAUAAAAAUAUCCACGUUACAUCAGAUUAACCACUGAACUUCUGUGUUGUUUAGGUCUGUUGUGGUACUUCGUAGCUUAGAUUGUACGACAGGAUGGAAUCAAGUGAUUCUGGCAUCUAAUUAUAGAUAAUGAUGUUAACUCUCUUUGUCCCUUGGUGAGCGUGUUGUUUACUCCAAGAAGCCAGUCAUCAAACUAACAAGCAGCAGCUUGAGAAUUUAAAACAUCCUAUAUGGUGCACGGUCUUAAGCACCACGCGUGUCUCACUUAGGUCAUAUCAGGAAAAUAAAUCUGCAGGUCGUUAGAUUCCUUAGUUUCUCUUGUCCCCGCUGUCAUUACCCACGGCACUUCUCUCGUGUUACUUCUUGCUCCAUUUUUAACCCGCCCUCACGACAACCACUAACGUGAAGUCCUCUCACUUUCCCGGCAUUUGGAGCAUGGCCUCACGCAACCCUCUUUUUUUUUCUCUUUCUUUUUUCACGCAUCAAAGGAAGAAGAAGAUGCAGAAGAAACACAGGAAGAAGAGGAUGAGUAGUUGAAGCCAGGUGACGUCAGUGACUUAACUGCUAUCCAGCCUGAAGGAGCCUCCUGCUCAGUCUCUCCUUGAUCCCUGAUGCUUGACCUCCUCAGCCCCUUUCUGACAGCCCCUUCAUCCCUCCCCAAGGCCCCACUGGACCCCACUGGAAACUGUUGUUCAUGUGCUAAAAGGCACUAUGCAAACUGAAAAGUCCUAACCCACAUCUGACCCCACCCCUUUCCCUUUUGACUGCAAUGUUGACUUAAUUUUUAUAUUUUGCUCGUAGAGACAUACUAUAAUGAAAAUGUGCAGAGUAGUCUAGUGGUGUCAGUUUGUUGAGUGAUGAGUAGCUUCUGUAAAAUGCAAAACAGUUAUUUUGUUAAACUCAAACACAUUUCUCAUAUUUUACUUUUUGAAAGUCUAGCUUCCUAACACAAAGAGGCAGUGACCUUUUCAGAAGAGCAUUACCUUGGCAUACCUCUUGUGGCCUCUACAUCAGAUUUAAAGGUUGAACUUACUCUUUAGUAAGUGUUCUGUUGUUUUAUCGCAGUUGUUUUACCAAUGUUGUGCCUUGAUGACUUUCUAUCAACUGAAUGUAUAAAUGCAAACUAAGACUUCUAAUAACCAGACAGCAUUAAUGGAAGACAUUAAUAUUCACAUGCCACAAGACUGUAAACUACAACACCACCACUACAAUUACUUCUGCUAAUACUGCUGUCUAAUCAAUGCACUUUGUUGAAUGUAGAGUGAAACGUGACUACGACUUGGAUGUAAUGGAAAAUCCAAUAAAGUAGACUGGUAAAAACAAAACAAAAAAAAA